This 405-nucleotide ribosomal RNA is filed under the name uncultured bacterium. RNAcentral describes it as "bacterial SSU rRNA". It matches the Rfam family "Bacterial small subunit ribosomal RNA", at positions 976 to 1380 of the family's 1533-position model. The record is from RNAcentral.
AAAUCUUGACAUCCUUUGAAAACUCUAGAGAUAGAGCCUUCCCCUUCGGGGGACAAAGUGACAGGUGGUGCAUGGUUGUCGUCAGCUCGUGUCGUGAGAUGUUGGGUUAAGUCCCGCAACGAGCGCAACCCUUAAACUUAGUUGCCAGCAUUUAGUUGGGCACUCUAGGUUGACUGCCGGUGACAAACCGGAGGAAGGUGGGGAUGACGUCAAAUCAUCAUGCCCCUUAUGAUUUGGGCUACACACGUGCUACAAUGGACAAUACAAAGGGCAGCUAAACCGCGAGGUCAUGCAAAUCCCAUAAAGUUGUUCUCAGUUCGGAUUGUAGUCUGCAACUCGACUACAUGAAGCUGGAAUCGCUAGUAAUCGUAGAUCAGCAUGCUACGGUGAAUACGUUCCCGGGUC